CAUUUGGAAUGGCUUUUGUGUUCUCAGGAAAAGUCUGAGUUUCAAAAACCACCCCACAUAAAAGCCACUUGUCAGCAGCAAAAUAAUGUUCUACACUUCUGUUGCACAGAAACUACAGAGAUCACGAUGGCUGAUCAAAGACUUCAGUGAGCGUCUAUUUCUGAUUACCCCAACCACAAACAGAUGGAGACCAUCAGCUCAUUCACUCCGUGUCAUGUACCUCACCGCAGUCACACUGAGGAGAGCCACCGGGGCAAGUUUUGAUGGCCGAGUGUUGAUCAAAUCCCACCAUCUACUGGGACUCCGCGGAACUACAGCGCUGCUUUAGAGCGUGCUCUGAAGAAUGCUGGAUGCCCCACUUGCUCUGCAGCUCACCAGACAGCUACUGCCAAGUGCUAUUUAGACACUGCAGUUAUUGGACUAGUAAAGUUUUGAUCUGACCUGGAACACACACGUUUAUUUUCCUUUGUGUUAUCUUGCACAGCAAGCAAUAGUGGAAUACCAAAUACUAGUAGUUGUAGUGCAAACGUUUGAACAUAAAUUUCCCUCUGUCCAUAUGAGACCACAAACACGACACCCCUACACCUCUUAGCCACAGAUACCAUGGUCCUUACAAUGUGCCAGAGGCAUUCAAUGCAGUUUUAAACCUGGAAGUAUCAUGAGAAAGACUCUGGAACGUAAAGAGUGAUAGCUACAGCACGGUAAGGGUGAUGAACUCACAGGGAGACUUCCCACUCCUUCUAAAGCAUGCACUACAACCAGUGUGAGCAAAAUUUAAAAACUGGCUUAGUUGAAUACACGCAUUAUCAUUUGAGAAAUCAAUACAUACUGAAGCAUUUACUGAUUUGCAGCUCUUCUAUAAUUGCAGAAUAGACUCUCAGGUGUGAUUGGCUUGUUGCUAAAUUUCCCUCAUGGGAUGCUAGUGAUAUCUCAAACAGUUGUGCCAUGGAAGACACUCUGAUCCCAUUGAAGUCAAAGUCAAAUAUUCCCAUUGACUUAGCAGAGGAUGUUAUUUGUUGUUAUGAAGCAGGAAGCAGAGUAGGACAGACACUCACUCUGUCUUGCAUUCCAAGUGGGAAGCUCUUGGAUAUAGCCGUGGUUUCAUUCUCCAUUCUCUAGUCAGUGUUUAUCUAAUGACACAUUAGGAGAGAUCGUCACUGUUUGCUUGAGCCCUGGGUCAGUCCCUGCAGAGGGCACAAACCAGUCCUUUUCGCUGGGUGGGAUGCUGUCUUCUCCAGACACAUCUGAGCUCGCUGCUGUUGCACUACCUAACACUGAGGAUGCAGCUCCAAAACAGAACCAAGAGUCAGUGUAGGUACAGCAUAUUU
RNAcentral lists this long non-coding RNA (1328 nucleotides) under Numida meleagris (helmeted guineafowl). RNAcentral's name for it is "lncRNA (ENSNMEG00000006735.1)". Lineage: Eukaryota; Metazoa; Chordata; Aves; Galliformes; Numididae. The record is from RNAcentral.